This 250-nucleotide ribosomal RNA is filed under the name uncultured prokaryote. RNAcentral's name for it is "partial 16S ribosomal RNA". It matches the Rfam family "Bacterial small subunit ribosomal RNA", at positions 524 to 774 of the family's 1533-position model. The record is from RNAcentral.
UACGUAUGGGGCGAGCGUUAUCCGGAAUCAUUGGGCGUAAAGCGCGCGUAGGCGGCUGUCCAAGCGGGGCGUCAAAUCCCGGGGCUCAACCCCGGGCCGCGCCCCGAACUGGGCGGCUUGAGUCCGGUAGGGGGAGGCGGAAUUCCCGGUGUAGCGGUGAAAUGCGCAGAUAUCGGGAAGAACACCGGUGGCGAAGGCGGCCUCCCGGGCCGCGACUGACGCUGAGGCGCGAAAGCUAGGGGAGCGAACA